AGUAGUUUGAUCCUGGCUCAGAUUAGACGCUGGCGGCAGGCCUAAUACAUGCAAGUCGAACGGUAACAGUAGAAAAGCUUGCUUUUCUAGCUGACGAGUGGCGGACGGGUGAGUAACAUUUGGGAAACUACCUGAUAGAGGGGGACAACAGUUGGAAACGACUGCUAAUACCGCAUAAAGCCUGAGGGUGAGAGCAGCAAUGCGCUAUCAGAUGUGCCCAAACGGGAUUAGCUAGUAGGUGAGGUAAAGGCUCACCUAGGCGACGAUCAGUAGCCGGCCUGAGAGGGCGGACGGCCACAUUGGGACUGAGACACGGCCCAGACUCC
RNAcentral lists this ribosomal RNA (326 nucleotides) under uncultured Succinivibrionaceae bacterium. RNAcentral's name for it is "bacterial SSU rRNA". It matches the Rfam family "Bacterial small subunit ribosomal RNA", at positions 1 to 339 of the family's 1533-position model. The record is from RNAcentral. Lineage: Bacteria; Pseudomonadati; Pseudomonadota; Gammaproteobacteria; Aeromonadales; Succinivibrionaceae.